Molecule: non-coding RNA, 138 nt
Organism: Triticum aestivum (bread wheat)
Lineage: Eukaryota; Viridiplantae; Streptophyta; Magnoliopsida; Poales; Poaceae
Source: Rfam
CAACUACUUCCUCCGUCUGGAAAUACUUGUCAUCAAACUGAAUAAAAGGAGAUGUAUCUAGAUAUAUUUUACUUAUAGAUACAUUUCUUUUUGUCCAUUUUGAUGACAUGUAUUUUCGGACGAAGGUGGGAGUACUUC